Long non-coding RNA from Onychostruthus taczanowskii (white-rumped snowfinch), 168 nucleotides. RefSeq lists it as uncharacterized. NCBI's taxonomy places the organism in Eukaryota, Metazoa, Chordata, Aves, Passeriformes, Passeridae. The transcript has 4 exons. The record is from RefSeq and is a predicted model, not a curated record.
UGCCAUCCAAGGAGCACAGAGGAGCAGAGGUGUGAAUUUGAAGAUGAGCACUCAACAGAACACCAGGAAUCUUCCGAGAGCUCUGGUGAAGACACAUCUGAUUCAGGACCAAAAGGAUGGGAGAAGGUGUCCAAGAAGAAUGGUCAAAAAGGGAAGAAAGGAAUUAUG